CAUGCAUGUGUCAGUACAGGCCGCUCUAAGGCUAAACCGCGAAUGGCUCAUUAAAUCAGUUAUGGUACAUUUGAUCAAAACCCCCAUUACUUGGAUAACCCUGGUAAUUCUAGAGCUAAUACGUGACCACGACUACUCCGACUGGAAGGGAGGAGUGCUUUUAUUAGAGUAAAACCAAUCGGGCCUCGGUCCGUCAAACACAUUGUGUGACGAUUCUGAAUAACUUUGUGCCGAGAGCACGGUCUCCGCACCGGCUCCGUAUCUUUCGAGUUUCUGCCUUAUCAUGCUGUGGAUUGUAGGUCAUGUGCCUACAGUGGCUGUUACGGGUGACGGAGAAUCAGGGUUCGAUUCCGGAGAGGGAGCCUGAGAAACGGCUACCACAUCCAAGGAAGGCAGCAGGCACGCAAAUUACCCAAUCCCAGCCCGGGGAGGUAGUGACGAAAAAUAACAAUGCGGGACUCUUCCGAGUCUGCGUAAUUGGAAUGAGAACACUUUAAAUCCUUUACCGACAACCAAUUGGAGGGCAAGUCUGGUGCCAGCAGCCGCGGUAAUUCCAGCUCCAAUAGCGUAUAUUAAAGUUGUUGCGGUUAAAAAGCUCGUAGUUCGAGCUCUGUUCCGGACUGGCCGGGGAGGUCACCGCCCGGUGCUUCCUCGUCAGGCUCCGAGCAGCUUUUUAGUAGAAGCCAAGCCGGUUCUUGCCGGGGUGCUCUUGACCGAGUGUCCCGCGCGGCCGGCCAGUUUACCUUGAACAAAGGAGAGUGCUUAAAGCAGGCUACUCUUAAAAAUAAAGCCCGAAUGUUACUUGCAUGGGAUGAUGGAAGAUGAUCUCGGCUCCAUUUUGUUGGUGGUGGGAGUCCGAGUUAAUGAUAAAUAGGGACUGUCGGGGGCAUCCGUACUACGACGCGAGAGGUGAAAUUCAGUGACCGUCGUAGGACGAACAACAGCGAAAGCAUUUGCCAAGAAUGUCUUCAUUGAUCAAGAACGAAAGUUAGAGGAUCGAAGGCGAUCAGAUACCGCCCUAGUUCUAACCCUAAACGAUGCUGACUAGCAAUCCGCCGUCGUUAUUCCCAUGACGUGGCGGGACGCCCCCGGGAAACCUCAAGUUUUUGAGUUCCGGGGGUAGUAUGGUUGCAAAACUGAAACUUAAAGGAAUUGACGGAAGGGCACCACCAGGAGUGGAGCCUGCGGCUUAAUUUGACUCAACACGGGAAACCUCACCAGGCCCGGACACCAGAAGGAUUGACAGAUUAAGAGCUCUUUCUCGAUUUGGUGGGUGGUGGUGCAUGGCCGUUCUUAGUUGGUGGAGUGAUUUGUCUGGUUAAUUC
Molecule: ribosomal RNA, 1325 nt
Filed under: Lysmata boggessi
Lineage: Eukaryota; Metazoa; Arthropoda; Malacostraca; Decapoda; Hippolytidae
Description: SSU rRNA
Rfam family: Eukaryotic small subunit ribosomal RNA
Source: RNAcentral